RNAcentral lists this ribosomal RNA (449 nucleotides) under uncultured bacterium. RNAcentral's name for it is "partial 16S ribosomal RNA". It matches the Rfam family "Bacterial small subunit ribosomal RNA", at positions 29 to 523 of the family's 1533-position model. The record is from RNAcentral.
AACGAACGCUGGCGGCAGGCCUAACACAUGCAAGUCGAACGAAGUCUUCGGACUUAGUGGCGGACGGGUGAGUAACACGUGGGAACGUGCCUUUAGGUUCGGGAUAACUCAGGGAAACUUGUGCUAAUACCGAAUGUGCCCUUCGGGGGAAAGAUUUAUCGCCUUUAGAGCGGCCCGCGUCUGAUUAGCUAGUUGGUGAGGUAAAGGCUCACCAAGGCGACGAUCAGUAGCUGGUCUGAGAGGAUGAUCAGCCACAUUGGGACUGAGACACGGCCCAAACUCCUACGGGAGGCAGCAGUGGGGAAUCUUGCGCAAUGGGCGAAAGCGUGACGCAGCCAUGCCGCGUGAAUGAUGAAGGUCUUAGGAUUGUAAAAUUCUUUCACCGGGGACGAUAAUGACGGUACCCGGAGAAGAAGCCCCGGCUAACUUCGUGCCAGCAGCCGCCGUAA